Molecule: unclassified non-coding RNA, 253 nt
Filed under: uncultured Myxococcales bacterium
Lineage: Bacteria; Pseudomonadati; Myxococcota; Myxococcia; Myxococcales
Description: contains 16S-23S intergenic spacer region
Rfam family: Bacterial small subunit ribosomal RNA
Source: RNAcentral
UACAGAGGGUGCAAGCGUUGUUCGGAAUUAUUGGGCGUAAAGGGCGCGUAGGCGGCAUUAUAAGUCAGAUGUGAAAGCCCAUGGCUCAACCAUGGAAGUGCAUCCGAAACUAUAGAGCUAGAGUCUUGGAGAGGGUGGUGGAAUUCCCGGUGUAGAGGUGAAAUUCGUAGAUAUCGGGAGGAACAUCAGUGGCGAAGGCGACCACCUGGCUGAAGACUGACGCUGAGGCGCGAAAGCGUGGGGAUCAAACAGG